UUGGGAUAUAACUGGCACAACUUUGUAAUAAAAUCGUUUCAAAUAUUGUUCUGUUUCAGUUUCCCACCAAAAAUAUGUAUUAAUUCAAAUUAAUAAAAAAAAUCUUGAAAAAAAAAUACAAUAUUUGGAGCCAAAAUAGACCUUUACCAAGCAAAACCUACUCCUUUCUCAUAAUUUAAAAUCAGCAUACCUUUUUUUAUCAGAUUCAUAUGUAAUAAAUGGAACAGAACACACAUAGCAAUUUUC
RNAcentral lists this long non-coding RNA (246 nucleotides) under Mytilus galloprovincialis (Mediterranean mussel). Lineage: Eukaryota; Metazoa; Mollusca; Bivalvia; Mytilida; Mytilidae. The record is from RNAcentral.